This is a long non-coding RNA of Mus musculus (house mouse), 962 nucleotides long. RefSeq annotates it as predicted gene, 35529. The record is from RefSeq and is a predicted model, not a curated record. The transcript is spliced from 2 exons. NCBI's taxonomy places the organism in Eukaryota, Metazoa, Chordata, Mammalia, Rodentia, Muridae.
GAUCACAGGAUAUAAAUAUUUUGAAGUAAAAUUUAAAUAACUUUCCCCAGGGUGUAUAAUUAUUUAGUAAGAGCCUAAACUUGAAUUUGAUUCCAACUCUUUACAAAUGCAAAUCUCAUGUAUUUUUUACUAAGUCAAAGAUAGCAUGAACAAUUGAUUUUUAAGAAAUAUUUUUGUUGAAAAAUAUACACUGUAAUCCUAACAGAAAUAAUAAGAUUAUGCUGGCACCUGCCUAGGGUGCAUUGUGCAGUUUGCCAAGCAGGUGAAAUUUGGUUAAAUAUUUUGACAGUUCUUUUUCCUCUCUCUCAUUUUUAUAUAUGAUGACAUUUAAAAUGAGGUGUCAGGGGGCAGGCACAUUUUUUCCCCCUUCAAAAAUGACAGGACAGAAAAGAAAAAGAAAGCUCAAAGCUCAGAGUCACCAAAACGGGUCAUUUUCACGGAGAACGCCAGCUGGGCAGAAGGGAACAUACGCUGCAUUCAGGAAAAGUUUCACAGGAUGCAAAGGGAAACCAUCUGCUUUGCUUUUUUGUUCUUGUUUAAGAGCAGCUUGUGUUUGCAACUCACAAUUUAAAACAUGGUAAUAGCCGACAGGGCUCUGUGAAGCAUAAAAUGCCCCGCUCGCUCCUUUCCCAUUUCUCCCUACUUAUUAUUAUUGUAUUUUUACUCUGUGUUUGCAGAAAGCCAAAUGAGAAGAAGGCAUUUGUGUGUUGCAACCUGGAUAGUAAUGUUCACCUAGCCCCGGAUGAGUCUGUGUGUGUUUUGUGUUUUCUGGACAUCCCAGGAUGCUGUGGUGAAACCCAGCCAACAGGAAUCACAGAAUGGCUUCAUAGAUCAUUUUAUAAAAUUGGCUCUCCCGGCAGAUUUACUUCAAGAUGGGAAAAGUGUCUUAUUUUCAACGCGGUCAUUUGUAUCUACAGCACUCUAUUCUGUUAAACAGCCUUAAUAAAAAUGAUAUUAUCCUU